Pangasianodon hypophthalmus (striped catfish) is the source of this 1205-nucleotide long non-coding RNA. RefSeq lists it as uncharacterized. The record is from RefSeq and is a predicted model, not a curated record. The transcript has 2 exons. NCBI's taxonomy places the organism in Eukaryota, Metazoa, Chordata, Actinopteri, Siluriformes, Pangasiidae.
AGGAACAUCUCAUAGCAGUUUAUCUAGUCAGGAAACAAGCAAGGCCUUCGUGUAGCCUGCUAUCAGUUGUGUAGAUAAAUGUUAUUGUAGAAACAUUUUGUCUGAAUCUUGCAAAAAUGUGCGUCAACCAUCUGUCACAUUUCCGUUUUUUCCCUGCAAUCAGAAGCGUAGGUACGGAGGCCCUAAGAGGCCAUGCAUUAUUCAUUCUCUUCUUUCUUGUUUUCUCGUGAUCUCGACUUAAUUUUCUUUUUUCGAGAUCACGAGAAAACAACUUUUGUUAUGUCGAGAUCACAAGAAAACAACUUUUUUAUUAUGUCGAGAUCACGAGAGAACAGCUUUUUAUGUGGAGAUCACGAGAAAACAAGAAAAAGAAAAAACAUAGUACAUGGCCUCUCAGGGCUUCCGUAUAUAGGCGAUUCUGCCCACCGCACUUUUUUCUUUUCUUUUUUUUUUUUUAUUUUGCAAAUAGAAAAAGAGCACACAACUAUUUUUCUUUAGAUGAACAGCAUAUUUUCAAGGUAUCUGGGAUCUUGGACCGAGUGAACGGCGAGGCAACCAAUCACAGUGAAGCUGUGUGUGACCCCGUCAUCACUAACACACUGCAGCAAGUUAGUGGCAGCUGUGGGAAGGUUGGGUUUCAGGUGAUGUCUUGAGGGCCCGAAUUACCUAAAUUAGCCACAUUAGCUAGCGGACUGGACUUGACAAGAAGGUUUCCAUGGAGCUGGAAAGAUCAUCUGUGCAAACAACUGGGAGGAUUCUGCAGUUUACUGUACUAAUGCUUGUGUUCUAACUGUUAGAACUCUUGAUGUUAUUAUUAUUGAACAUGUUUAGGUUAGAAAUUAUUUUAAAUGUUCUAGGUAUUGUUAUUUACUUGACUGUUAAAGUGUUCUAUACUUUGUGAAAAUGGAAUGCAUAACCUUGUGGACAUGUUUCUUUAUUAUUUUAUUAACAUCAGUGUUGAUUGUUCAUUGUAAACCAGCUUUACUCCCUGACACUGUUCUGGUUCUGGACCCCCUGGAGGUGGUGGCUGAAAGGAGAAUGGGAUCCAAAUUGUCGGCCCAUUAUAUUACAUAGGUGUAUCUAUAAACCUGUUUUGUAUUUAUUAUAAUGUUGGUAUAUUUUUCCAUGCACUGUAUAGUGGUUUAUAAUGUCUCACUGUUAUGGCAACCCGAUUUUCCACAUCAGUAAAUACCUUUCUAUCUUUA